AUCUAUAGCCAUGCCACCCUGAACAAGCCCGAUCCCAUCUGAUCUCGGAAGUUAAACAGGGGUGGGCCUGGUUAGUACUUGGAUGGGAGACCACCAGGUGCUAUAGGCG
This 109-nucleotide ribosomal RNA is filed under the name Pteropus alecto (black flying fox). Lineage: Eukaryota; Metazoa; Chordata; Mammalia; Chiroptera; Pteropodidae. RNAcentral also lists the same sequence under 1 other name. The record is from RNAcentral.